ACUUUGUUUCCUUUGUGAUCCACCACCUGAAUUCUUGCAUUUCCUCUAAUCACAUACAGGGCACUAUGUGCAUUGAUAUUCCAGUGUGGUGCAAAAAUGGCAUUCUGCAAUUACCAAACAACAAACUCAAUCACUCAUUUCACGUAACAAAAUUUAUGUAUUAAUGCUAUUGUGUUUGCUUACGCUGUAGAGGAAUCCUCUUUCUGCACUAAGUUGGAGGCUGCUGAGGAUAGGAAUCUUUUGGCUAUUAACAGUGGUAAUGCGGCCAGCACGAGGAUUGAAUACAUCAGCCUCUUGGGGGAGGCCAAUGUUUUCACUAAGCUUCACCGUGCACAAAGUUUCCUCAAGUCCAUUGGAUCUCCAUCCUCUUCCAACACCCUGUUGUUGCUGCUCCUGCUGUUGUUGGGGUUGUUGCUCUUGCUCACUAUAUUCAGGCAGGAACAGUUGAAGUUUUUCAGCUCGGACUGUGCUACCCCUUUUAUCUUUCGGACCCUUCAAUUUCUGUAUUAUUUUGAGGUCAACAUUGAAAGCAUCAGCCAAAAGUUGGUCAUCAAAUCCUGAGAAGAUGUUUCUAUGCUGCUGCUGCUGGCCUUGAUGGCCUUCCUUUCCACCACCCUGUUGCGGGUUUCCGGCUAGGAAAAAUUUCUGAAAGUAAAAAAAAAUUUUUUUUAUUAAGAUGGUACCGCAAUAAAAUAUGCCCAGAAAGAGAUUAUUUUUUGAUUAAUACUUGGCAAGUUUGGAAUGAUAGUUUUCUUACCCUGGACUGCAAAUCAAGCUGAUUAGCCUCAUUGGCAACAUCAAGAAGUGCGACAGUGACAAGCGGAACAUCUCCAUCAUUAUAUGUCCACUGAGUGAAACCAGGAAGCAAUAUAAGGACAUCUCCUUUUUGGAACCUUCUGAGCUUCUGAUGGCGGUCUGGAAACCUUUGCCUUUGCCCUUCCUGACCACCUUUGGAACCUUCUUGCCCUUUGCCCGGCUGUUCCUGACCACCCGAAAAUGAUUCGCCCUGGGAUUCAAAUGUUUCAGCACAACCAGGGAUCACAGUGCCUUGAACACCGGUACCUGCAUUAUGCCAAAAUGAUUAAAUCAUGAAAAAAAUCAAUUAUACGAUCAUUAAGAAGAAAAUAGAGAAAAACUUCCAGAAAUAAUGGAAAGAUGGGAAAUGAAACUUGCCUUCGACAACGUAGACGAAUUUCGGCACGUUAGAGUAAUGAGGCAAACGAAGGCCCUUAGGUUGGACAGUGUUACGCUCAAAUUCCACACCAGCGCACCCAAAUUCUGGAUUAUUAGAAUCCCAGAAUUCAGUUAAACCAGCCUCUGAUGGGAACCUGAAGGAUGGUUCUUGUGCAUUAAGCUUCUGAAUAUUGCACUGAGUUUUACCCCCGAGCCUUGGCUCUGGUCUCCCUAGUUGAGCCAAACAGCCGAGGAACAAGAGAAGAACGUACGAGGAAAGAGAAAUCAUAUGAGAGUGAGCCAUUCUCUGACAACAGAGGAGAGUGUAGUGUGUUUUUGUGGUGAGGGGAUGCGGCGAUUAGAGCUUGGAAAUGGCUCCUUUUAUAACAUGUAAUGGAAGAUGAGGAAUCGACACGUCAAAAUUUUCAUUUUACACUUGGCUACUCAGUCUUGUGCAUGGCUGAUGAAGAGGAACACUUCUUUACACCAAGGAUGAUGUGUAAGCCUUGGUGGCAAUGAGUUUCUGACAUGUAUUGUUCAAUCCUUUUGUGUUUGUAUUUGCAUGAAAUUUUUGUACUUUAGCAAUGGCAUGGUAAGGUGCAUUAUCUGCUACGAUGGCUUUUGAUGAAUCAAACCCCAAAUCAAACACACAUUCAUCUUGGGAUCUUUCGAGAUGUGAUAUGGAAAGAUGAUCACAACUGCUGCGUAUUACAUCACACCUAUCAUCUUCUGCUUUUAAGUUUCUAGUACCUAUCUAUCUUCAUCGAUUUUUAUUCACCUUUAUUGAAGACAAUUGGUUUUCACUUCUAGGCAAAUGACUGUUGCAGUUCAUAAUUUCAAUGCCUGGAAUAAAUAUCUGUUAAACAAUUACCGUUUCUAGUCUAGUGGCACGUAAUUAAAGGCAUUCUACAGGGAAAUUCCAUGAUUUAAAAUCUUUAUUAGCAAACAAAAGGCAGCCAAUCCAUGUUGGAUCAAACUAAAAGAUAGAGCCAGAAACCCAAUUUGACAUGGAAUAGAGUUUUACGUCUAACAAUUGAAUUGAAUUAUGUUCUUGAAAAGGUUGCUCAUCUACAUCGUUUUCCGCUGUAAUACAUCAAUAAACCAGCUGUAUCGUGACCCAUUGUAUCUGCCGCUUGGGUAGAGGUUAAAUCUCCCUCUAUGCAUUUCCUCUAUCCUUCCCCUUGUAGGUAGGCUUGAACUCCAAAAGAAAAGAGAAAAAAAAAGAAAGUACGAAGUUGAUUCCACUGACAUUUGUAUCAAAUUCAAUAUUUGAGCAAUAAUGAUCAUCAGCUUCUAGAAAUGAUCCAAGUCCAAGCUAUUGAUUCCAGCCUCCCAUAGUGUGUCUGAACAAAUUUCAAGAUGGUGAUAUGAUAGCCAAAUCAUGGACAAAAAAAGUUGCUUGGGAAGACUGUCUUAACCCCAGUUCCAGAGUUAGAUCAAUCAAUGGUUCUCUAAUCUAUUCCAUUCUAACAUUGUUUAGUUGAGUUUUUGUCUAUGUGUAAUUUCAGUUUCAAUUAAUUACUCAACUUUGCAUGUUUAGUGUUAUAAUCAUUAGUGCUUUUGGUACACCGAUGGUGCUCAUUUCAAAAAUAUGUAAUUAAUAAUUUUUAAUAAUCCACUAUUAUAUGUAGAAUCAUGUUAGAGCAUAUAUAUGCUUUUCUCAAAAUUCAUAGAUAUGAUUCUUUUUUGAUUUUUUAGGAAAUUAUUGUACUUAAAAUCAUGGUAAAGAAAUAGAGUGGAAGUGAGCUGAUAUGCUUAAGAUCAUGGUUGGAAGAGGUGGUGGACCCAAAUUGAUAAAUACACAAAACCCACAGAAACAAUAAAAAAAAAACGAUAUUGAGGCACAGGAAAAUUUUCUAUUAAUCAUAACAAGGCUCUGGCUACACUAUGCAAAACACAACGGAGGUUACUACUUCUUCUUAAGGCUAAAAGACGGACGCAACGGCUACACAUCAAAACCCCUUGGCGGCUAACUUCUAUUACUAACUCUGCUAGUCAUAAGAAAUUCAAUCCCAUGGGAUCACCCUACCAACCAACAAUACUACUUACCAAUCCCACAUGACAGCAUAAACAAAUAAUAAAGGCUUGGUUUGUGUUUCUAUAUUGCCUCCAUUAAACCAGUCUCCUCUAACUUGGACAUACCUAACAUAUUCUUCAACUCGACAAAAAUCUCUAUCUUCAAUAUCUUGGUGAAAAAUGUCAGCCGCUUACUAUUUAAUUCUGCAAUAAUCAAUUUCAACCUCUCUCUAUCUCGAACCAACUCACGUGUGAAGUGAUAUUUGAUACCAAUAUGCUUGUUACAUCCAUGAAGUACUAAAUUCUUGGACAACUCAAUAGCUGACUUACUAUCAUAAUAAAUUUUCGUAGGAUCAACCUGCUUGUAUUGUAGAAUACCAAACAUGCAAUGUAACCAUAAAACUUGAUUAGCACUAUUAGCUGCUGCAAUAUACUCUGCCUCCGCUAUAAACAAUGCAAUCACCUGUCGUUUCUUUGAACUCAAGGAAAAUAAGUCAGAACCAAUAAAAAAUGCAUAACUUGAAGUACUCUUCUUCUCUAUUGUAUCACCUGGUCAAUCACUAUCAGUGUAGCCAAACAAUUCAACUGGAUAAUUUUCUGAAUAUAAAAUGCCAACACUGCGAGUACUUUCAAUAUAUUUCAAAAUUCUCUUAACCGCCUGCAAAUGUGACUGACGUGGAUUUUUCAUAAACUUGUUAAUCACACCAACAGCAAAAUUGAUAUCUGGCCUCAUAGACGUCAAAUAUCUCAAAUUUUCUACCAAACUUUUAAAGUAGGUAGGAUUUACAUAUCCAUAACUGUUAUAUUCUUCCUGUCUGCCACUCCAUUUUGUUGGAAAAUGUACCUGGUAGUCAAUUGAUGAUGUAUCACAUUUUUUUCAAAAAAAAUCAUCACACAACAAAUAUUCCUGACCCCUAUUUGUUCUCAAAAUUUUAAUUUGAUACCCACUUUGUCUUUAACAAAAGUUUUUAAAAUUUUAAAAAUAUCACAGGCAUUAUAUUUUUGUUUCAAAAAAUAUACCAAGACUUUUCUACUGAAAUCAUCAAUAAAGGUAAUAAAAUACCUGCAACUACCAUUAGAAGAAACCAUAGUGCACAAGUCUGAGUGAAUAAUUUCCAAUGAUUUUUUGGCCCUCCAUGAUAUGUCAAUCUAAAAAGCAUCCCUCUAUUGCUUUCUCAAAACGCAUAUAUCACAGACUCUAAUAGGAUUUCUAGUAUUAGGCAAUCUACCAACCAUUUUUUUACUGGUCAAAAGUUUGAAAUUGUCAAAAUUCAAAUGGCCAAAUCAUAUAUGCCAUAACUAAUUACUAUCUUUUAUCACCAUAUUCAAACAAAAAAAUUGAUAGAACUCAAAUUCAAUGCAACUAAGCGAUUUGAAAUCAUUGAUACACUAGCAAUUAUUCCAAUAUUUUUUAUAAAAAAUGGUACAAGUACCAUUCGGAUACUAAUAUCAUUUUUUUUUUCUCAGAUAAUUGGCUUAUACUCAACAAAUUAUGAUGCAACCCAAGAACAUAGAAAACAUCAGAAAAAAAUUAGUAGACCCAUUUUUCAGACUAAUAGAAAUUUUUUCAAAUUUUACUUCACCAUGGACAGAUACAUCAAGUUCAACAAAUAAUUCUUUCUUGCCAGAUAUACCGUUACUGCAACCCGUAUCCAAGUAUCAUUUAUUUUUAUUAACUAGAUCAACAGCA
RNAcentral lists this long non-coding RNA (4879 nucleotides) under Coffea arabica (coffee). Its description in RNAcentral is "long non-coding RNA (CARA_LNC002110)". Lineage: Eukaryota; Viridiplantae; Streptophyta; Magnoliopsida; Gentianales; Rubiaceae. The record is from RNAcentral.